GAUGAACGCUGGCGGCGUGCCUAAUACAUGCAAGUCGAACGCUUCACUUCGGUGAAGAGUGGCGAACGGGUGAGUAAUACAUAAGUAACCUGGCAUCUACAGGGGGAUAACUGAUGGAAACGUCAGCUAAGACCGCAUAGGUGUAGAGAUCGCAUGAACUCUAUAUGAAAAGUGCUACGGGACUGGUAGAUGAUGGACUUAUGGCGCAUUAGCUUGUUGGUAGGGUAACGGCCUACCAAGGCGACGAUGCGUAGCCGACCUGUGAGGGUGACCGGCCACACUGGGACUGAGACACGGCCCAGACUCCUACGGGAGGCAGCAGUAGGGAAUUUUCGGCAAUGGGGGAAACCCUGACCGAGCAACGCCGCGUGAAGGAAGAAGUAAUUCGUUAUGUAAACUUCUGUCAUAGAGGAAGAACGGUGGAUAUAGGGAAUGAUAUCCAAGUGACGGUACUCUAUAAGAAAGCCACGGCUAACUACGUG
Molecule: ribosomal RNA, 482 nt
Filed under: uncultured bacterium
Lineage: Bacteria
Description: partial 16S ribosomal RNA
Rfam family: Bacterial small subunit ribosomal RNA
Source: RNAcentral